Molecule: ribosomal RNA, 800 nt
Filed under: Microbacterium sp. F028
Lineage: Bacteria; Bacillati; Actinomycetota; Actinomycetes; Micrococcales; Microbacteriaceae
Description: bacterial SSU rRNA
Rfam family: Bacterial small subunit ribosomal RNA
Source: RNAcentral
GUGGGAGGCUCGACAUCUUCUGCAGUCGAACGGUGAAGCCAAGCUUGCUUGGUGGAUCAGUGGCGAACGGGUGAGUAACACGUGAGCAACCUGCCCUGGACUCUGGGAUAAGCGCUGGAAACGGCGUCUAAUACUGGAUAUGAGCUCUCAUCGCAUGGUGGGGGUUGGAAAGAUUUUUUGGUCUGGGAUGGGCUCGCGGCCUAUCAGCUUGUUGGUGAGGUAAUGGCUCACCAAGGCGUCGACGGGUAGCCGGCCUGAGAGGGUGACCGGCCACACUGGGACUGAGACACGGCCCAGACUCCUACGGGAGGCAGCAGUGGGGAAUAUUGCACAAUGGGCGGAAGCCUGAUGCAGCAACGCCGCGUGAGGGAUGACGGCCUUCGGGUUGUAAACCUCUUUUAGCAGGGAAGAAGCGAGAGUGACGGUACCUGCAGAAAAAGCGCCGGCUAACUACGUGCCAGCAGCCGCGGUAAUACGUAGGGCGCAAGCGUUAUCCGGAAUUAUUGGGCGUAAAGAGCUCGUAGGCGGUUUGUCGCGUCUGCUGUGAAAUCCCGAGGCUCAACCUCGGGCCUGCAGUGGGUACGGGCAGACUAGAGUGCGGUAGGGGAGAUUGGAAUUCCUGGUGUAGCGGUGGAAUGCGCAGAUAUCAGGAGGAACACCGAUGGCGAAGGCAGAUCUCUGGGCCGUAACUGACGCUGAGGAGCGAAAGGGUGGGGAGCAAACAGGCUUAGAUACCCUGGUAGUCCACCCCGUAAACGUUGGGAACUAGUUGUGGGGACCAUUCCACGGUUUCCGUGACG